This 253-nucleotide ribosomal RNA is filed under the name uncultured bacterium. RNAcentral describes it as "partial 16S ribosomal RNA". It matches the Rfam family "Bacterial small subunit ribosomal RNA", at positions 524 to 776 of the family's 1533-position model. The record is from RNAcentral.
UACAUAGGUCUCAAGCGUUGUCCGGAUUCAUUGGGCGUAAAGGGUGCGUAGGCGGCGCGGUAAGUCGGGUGUGAAAUCUCGGAGCUUAACUCCGAAGCUGCAUUUGAUACUGCCGUGCUUGAGGACUGGAGAGGAGACUGGAAUUUACGGUGUAGCGGUGAAAUGCGUAGAUAUCGUAAGGAAGACCAGUGGCGAAGGCGGGUCUCUGGACAGUUCCUGACGCUGAGGCACGAAGGCCAGGGGAGCAAACAGG